GAUACUGGCAAUGUUACUGAUCUGCAGUACCACAAAAUAAAAGUCAGCCAUUUGAAGCUGACAUGUAAAUAUUAUAGCUACAGUGUCUAAAAGAAAUCCAAGAAAAAUAAAUUGCCAUUUAAUUGCUCUCAAUUGAUUGGAAGAAAAAAGUGCAUACGCACCAAAAAGAUUACUCCUAGUCAAGAUUUAUUAUUCUUUAAAGAAGUUUUCCCAGAAAAUUCUUUUCAACAGAAACGAGACAUCAUAUGACGGUGAAUUAAGCAAUUCCUCACUUCGAGCUCAAAA
Molecule: unclassified non-coding RNA, 285 nt
Filed under: Hevea brasiliensis (rubber tree)
Lineage: Eukaryota; Viridiplantae; Streptophyta; Magnoliopsida; Malpighiales; Euphorbiaceae
Source: RNAcentral